Molecule: long non-coding RNA, 1355 nt
Organism: Poecile atricapillus (Black-capped chickadee)
Lineage: Eukaryota; Metazoa; Chordata; Aves; Passeriformes; Paridae
Exons: 3
Source: RefSeq, a predicted model, not a curated record
GGCAGUGUUGUACCUGGAUGUGGGGUAUGGACUCUGCUAGAACCUGUUUCCACUGCUGGCUGGGGAUUUCUGCCUUUGCUGUGCUCCUAUUUCCCAGCUCAUCUUGGAAGGAGAGUUCUUCAGAUAAAAUAAUUUUCAUUAGAAAAUUCCUCUGAUGGGCUUAUGAACUUUUAAUGGGAGAUCAUCACUGAACCUUUUUUGUGUUCUCUGAAGUGACCUUGGCACACGGGCAAUACAUGAGCACACCUCAGUGUGAAAUUUUCUGAAGAAUUUUUAAUGCCUGCAAGUGGCACUUGAGUGGCUGAUUCCAAUAACUCCGGCAGUCAGUUGAUGAAGCAUUCUUUGCUUUAUGAUUUGAGUAAUAGAAGUGGUUGCAUGUGUGGUUAUAUAUCAGAAACACAGUUUAUCCAGCUCUUUUCAGUCCCUUUGAUCCACUGGAUGUGGCCACAGCACUGUUCAGUGCUGGUCAGUCGUUUUCAAGUCAGUGAGCAUCUGGGCUGGUCAUUAGCCAGCAGAGAGAUCAAUUCGGGCUGCUGGGGGUGUGUUUGGAGGAGAGGAUUGGAAUGCAGGAACUCUAUUGAUCCAUUGUCCUGGAUAAUCAACAUCACCACCAGCAGAUCUCAAAGCUGGGUGAGGACUCCAUGGAAUCUCCUUUCUGCUCUUGCACCUCUGUUCAACCAGGAGCGAAUCCUCCAGUCAGCAAAGAUGGCAAAUCUCCGAGAUUCCGAAUUCCCAACUUUGAUAAAGCAAUGAGCUAAUUAAUAAAGCAUAAAUUGUUAGCAUUUUUCUGUGGAGCACUGCCGAGGAUCCAUUAUUUUAUUUAGUGUAUUUGUCUUAAAGUGAUUAUGUUACUAAUUAUAAGGCUCACUAGUCUGUUUAACAGGAGUCCAAAUAAUUAUAAUUUGUUUGCAUUCCCACCCUGUGUAUUUUCAUGCAAUAAGGAAAACAUUUUGUUGAAUGAUUAAUCUUGUGCAUGCCUGUCUGUGUGUUUAGGAAAAUUAAAUGUCUCAUUUUUGUUCCAAAUGAGAGAUUUCUGGUUUUGCUACUCUUGUUCUCAAGGUGCAUUGGUAAAUUCUGAAGAAACUUGAGGAUAAAGCCACAGGGGGGAUGAUGGGCUCUUAGGGACUCAAUAUGUUCUAAAUAAAGUCCACAACAAAAUUCUUUUCAGUGUCAAAUUAUUUUGCAUAAUUUGUGUUUUUAAAAAAAACAGGUUGAAGUUCUUAUUUACAGGCUAUCUUAAAGCAAAAGAAAUCCUUCAGCCUUGGAAAGGAUUUGGCAGCCAAGUUCCAUUGCUCUUACUGGAGUAAUUUGAAGGACAAAAUUCAUAACAGGCUUUUCAAUAAAUGCUCAAUGGA